Small nuclear RNA from Octodon degus (degu), 107 nucleotides. The record is from Ensembl. Lineage: Eukaryota; Metazoa; Chordata; Mammalia; Rodentia; Octodontidae.
GUGCUCGCGUAGGCAGCACAUCUACUAAAACUGGAAGGACAUAGAGAAGAUUAGCCUGGCUCCUGUGCAAGGAUGACACACAAACUUGUAAAGUGUUCCAUAUCUAA